RNAcentral lists this long non-coding RNA (173 nucleotides) under Esox lucius (northern pike). RNAcentral describes it as "Nuclear RNase P". It matches the Rfam family "Nuclear RNase P", at positions 1 to 100 of the family's 301-position model. Rfam says of the family: Ribonuclease P (RNase P) is a ubiquitous endoribonuclease, found in archaea, bacteria and eukarya as well as chloroplasts and mitochondria. Its best characterised activity is the generation of mature 5'-ends of tRNAs by cleaving the 5'-leader elements of precursor-tRNAs. Lineage: Eukaryota; Metazoa; Chordata; Actinopteri; Esociformes; Esocidae. The record is from Rfam by way of RNAcentral.
UAUGGGAGGAAGCUCAUUGUAGAGGUCACGUGCCGAGUGCUCGUCACUCAACCAAUCACCUCGGGGAAGGUCUGAGACAAGAGCCAAUUGCUGCCAGCCUCUGUUUCAAUGUCAUCAUAGAGAUUGAGUAGACGGGAUGGGAAACCGGCCUUUGCAAUUCAUUUUCCUUCUUA